This 550-nucleotide ribosomal RNA is filed under the name Globoturborotalita rubescens. RNAcentral describes it as "partial small subunit ribosomal RNA". It matches the Rfam family "Eukaryotic small subunit ribosomal RNA", at positions 1356 to 1755 of the family's 1831-position model. Lineage: Eukaryota; Foraminifera; Rotaliida; Globigerinidae. The record is from RNAcentral.
ACGUCUGCUAGACUGCUCGACUUCGGUUGGGUGGAAAGGUGGAUAAACUUUGGGGACGUCUUAAGAUAAAUAUUUUUCUCAAACCAGAGGAAGAUUGCGGCAAUAACAGGUCUGUGAUGCCCUCAGAUGUCCCGGGCUGCACACGUGCUACAUUGAGUAGCGCAGUGUGUAAACUUUAUUAGACUGAUGAGUCCUUAAUUUUUACAUUACGUGAAUCUCAUUGACUUAUCAAACCUGCUCUGAAAGGAGCGGGUAAUCUUUUCGAAGUUCUAGUUUGAUUUUCCUGUGGCGAACGUUUUGAGUCCAUGUUCCGUGUGUUUGCGGUGUCCUCUGUCAGUUUCAUGUAUUGUGGGCGUUCUUUGGUUGACUCAUCGUGGGGACUGAUUCUUGUAAUUAUGUUUCACGUGUCAACCGGGAAUGCCUUGUACAGGUUCCCGGUUCAACAGACCACCUGGAAUACGUCCCUGCCCUUUGUACACACCGCCCGUCGCUCUCACCAAUGAGCUUGAGUGUGAGUAGGUCAGACUGAGUAAUUAUUUACUUGGGAAAU